RNAcentral lists this ribosomal RNA (253 nucleotides) under uncultured bacterium. RNAcentral describes it as "partial 16S ribosomal RNA". It matches the Rfam family "Bacterial small subunit ribosomal RNA", at positions 524 to 776 of the family's 1533-position model. The record is from RNAcentral.
UACGGGGGGGGCAAGCGUUGUUCGGAAUUACUGGGCGUAAAGGGCUCGUAGGCGGCCAACUAAGUCAGACGUGAAAUCCCUCGGCUUAACCGGGGAACUGCGUCUGAUACUGGAUGGCUUGAGUGUGGGAGAGGGAUGCGGAAUUCCAGGUGUAGCGGUGAAAUGCGUAGAUAUCUGGAAGAACACCAGUGGCGAAAGCGCUCUACUGGGCCAUAACUGACACUGAGGGACGAAAGCUAGGGGAGCGAAAGGG